Medicago truncatula (barrel medic) is the source of this 111-nucleotide microRNA precursor. It matches the Rfam family "MIR5284 microRNA precursor family". NCBI's taxonomy places the organism in Eukaryota, Viridiplantae, Streptophyta, Magnoliopsida, Fabales, Fabaceae. The record is from Rfam.
UUGUAAUUUCAGAUUCCUCCACUUUUGAUCCCUCAUCUUACGUGCCAUGUAUGCAGAUUUUGCUAACGUGGUGAAAUGAGGGAUCAAAAGUGGAGGAAUCUGAAAUUACAG